This is a long non-coding RNA of Gallus gallus (chicken), 2053 nucleotides long. RefSeq lists it as uncharacterized. Lineage: Eukaryota; Metazoa; Chordata; Aves; Galliformes; Phasianidae. The transcript has 3 exons. The record is from RefSeq and is a predicted model, not a curated record.
GAUUGUUCAGUCUGGAGGAGGCUCAGAGGAGACCUUAUUGCUCUCUACAGCUACCCGAAGAGAGGUCGUACUGAAGUGGGUAUUGGCCUCUCUUCCCAGGUAAUAGUGAUAGGGCAAGAGAUUAUGGCUGUAAGUUGUGCCACGGGAAGUUCAGGUUGGACAUUAGGAAAAAUUUAUUCUCAGAAAGGGUAGCGAUGCAUUUGAAACAGGCUGCCCAGGGAAGCAGUAGAGUCACUGUCCUUGGAGGUGUUCAAGAAACAUGUAGAUGUGGCACUGAAGAACAUACUUAGUGGUCAUGGUGGUGAUGGGUUGACAGUUGGACUCCAUGUUAGAAGUCUUUUGCAACAUUAAUGAUACUAUGAUUCAGUGGAGCACUACUCUCCAUGGUCAGCUGACCAGAACUACCCUCAGGUGGAGCAGGGCCAGCACAUCCUUCAGAGCCCACCAUGCACUGAGAGCUGGGAGCUAUUGGCUUUGCAGAAUUCAUGGAUGAUGUCUGGGUAUAACUGGAUUUUGUCACUGACUUAAGCAGAUAACUUUAUCCAGGUUUCUUCUUAAAAGGAUGGCCUUGUAUGAAACACCAAGCGGGCUGUCCUUUACUGCUUUGAAAAGGGUCAUGUCACCGUGAAGUUUCAAGCCAUUGCUGAGGGGCCCAUUCCCUUCCUCCACCGCUGAAGGUCAAGUUCAGCCUGCACUUUAGGUGAUGGUUGAUUUUUCACAUUUGAUAUUUCUCAUGAUACAUCAAUUAUCAGCAGGUAGAAAUGCAAUCUAUUGAGAAGCACGGGUUUGAGGAAAUUGUAGCAGACAAGCUUUCAAUUUCAAAUUCACAGACUGCCUUCAAUGGCCCUACAUGGAUUUAUUCCCACUGAGCUCUGGAGUUUUCCAUGAAAGUAACACCAGAGUGUUCAAACGAUGAGUGUAGGACUGCAGUGAAUGGACAACUGUCCUUCAGGACUUGCAAAGUAGAUUUGCAAUGACCUGCUGCAGGAGAUAAUGCUAAUCCCUGGCAUUACCUACUGUAAAAUUUGUUCAGAUAGAUUUUAAACCAAACAGAAAAUCCCUCAGCCAGAUCACUGCAUUUCCAUCGUCCAAAUUAUGUUUCCAGGGUUCCAGCCAGCAGCCAGAGAUGGCAAGAAACAGAACAGAAAGUUUUUUGUACACUGUAAGAUGACAUUGAACACUUACUAAGCUUCAUACUUGGUGUUGUACUCCACUACAUGAAGACCCACACAUUUGAGUAGCGUUCUGCAGCCAUUAAUGAAUGAUGUUAGCAGCAGCAGUAUGGGAAAGAACAUACAGUAUAGGAAAGAAUAUUACACAUGCAGGGUAUGAUUUCUGCUGCUCAACUCUUGCUGACUAUAUCCAUGCAAGUGAUUUCAUGCUCUGCUCAAAGGCUGUCAAACAUGCACUUUUAGCUGAUAAAAUCACAUGGCCUACGUUAUCCAUCCCCUUUAGAACAUAAAGAUGAAUCAUGCUCUAGAGCUCUCUGCUUCUUUCCAUGAACGAGGAAGAUAAACAAGAUGAUGUAGGUCACAUGCAGAUGUCCACAUCUGUCAGAUAAGCUUUAUCUUUAAUGUUUUUAUGUUGCCUGUGAAAAUACAUAACAUUCAACAUUCAGUUAAAAUGUGCACUCCGUAUGGCAUAUAAAAUGUGGAGUGUUCAGUACUUUGAAAUGUACAGUACUAGUAUGUAGGAGGUGUUUUAGAUCAGCUUAGCUACCCCUGAAUAGAUAGGGAUGAAGUCACACACAUGUACGGUGAAAGCAAACUCGCAUACAGAAAACUGAUAAUAUUCUUGCUAGCCAGCACAUAAGGGACUUUUCUUACAGCCUGAUCCUUCAGGCUAUUAUGUAUGGAUCCUGUAUUCAAAUCUUAAUAGGAUUUUUUUUAUGGACAAAUAUGUCCACUACUACCAGGACACUGCUCAAUAAGUGGAGGACUUAUUCUGUAAGCAACACGGAAUUGUCACAGAAGCAACUACAAGGACAUAACCACAGAGAUUGUGACAGACAGAGUUCUACCAUGAAGCUCGGAUGGAUCUGCAGAAGCACAAG